CCUACGGGUGGCUGCAGUGGGGGAUAUUGCACAAUGGGGGAAACCCUGAUGCAGCGACGCCGCGUGUGGGAAGACGGUCCUCUGGAUUGUAACCCACUGUCCCCAGGGACGAAGUUGACGGUACCUGGGGAGGAAGCUCCGGCAAACUACGUGCCAGCAGCCGCGGUAAUACGUAGGGAGCGAGGGUUGUCCGGAAUUACUGGGGGGAAAGGGAGGGUAGGCGGGACUGCAAGUAGGUUGUAAAAUCUACUGGCUCAACCGGUAGCCGCACUCAAAACUGCAGUUCUUGAGUGAAGUAGAGGCAGGCGGAAUUCCUAGUGUAGCGGUGAAAUGCGUAGAUAUUAGGAGGAACACCAGUGGCGAAGGCGGCCUGCUGGGCUUUUACUGACGCUGAGGCUCGAAAGUGUGGGGAGCAAACAGGAUUAGAUACCCUUGUAGUC
This 440-nucleotide ribosomal RNA is filed under the name uncultured bacterium. RNAcentral describes it as "partial 16S ribosomal RNA". It matches the Rfam family "Bacterial small subunit ribosomal RNA", at positions 338 to 795 of the family's 1533-position model. The record is from RNAcentral.